RNAcentral lists this long non-coding RNA (358 nucleotides) under Elaeis guineensis (African oil palm). RNAcentral describes it as "long non-coding RNA (EGUI_LNC073709)". Lineage: Eukaryota; Viridiplantae; Streptophyta; Magnoliopsida; Arecales; Arecaceae. The record is from RNAcentral.
UGGUCUCUCCUCAUAUGGGACCCAUUGACAAAUAAAAGGAGUUGAAGAGUCCGUCAAGGACUCUAACAUCCUUUUUGAAAAAAGUCAAGAUGGUGCACGAUAACUCAUGAGGCGUGGAACCUUUUGAUGCAUAGAAAAUGAGUCCGUAAAGAACUCUAAUUUUUAUCUUAUAAAAGCAGGGGGCUUGUGGACGUGAAAAGGGUGAACAGAACACCAAUAAAAAAGAGAGGAUGUCAUAAGCCACCAAAAAAGGAGAUAGGGAGAGAAACUUGGAGGGUGCUUUAUUCAAGUAAAGAAGAUCGGAGAAUGUUGAUUAGAGGAGUUCGCUCAAUCUUGGAUUAGAGUUAUUCUAUCGAGG